Molecule: transfer RNA, 77 nt
Filed under: Holosporaceae bacterium
Lineage: Bacteria; Pseudomonadati; Pseudomonadota; Alphaproteobacteria; Holosporales; Holosporaceae
Description: tRNA-Pro
Rfam family: tRNA
About the family: Transfer RNA (tRNA) molecules are approximately 80 nucleotides in length. Their secondary structure includes four short double-helical elements and three loops (D, anti-codon, and T loops).
Source: RNAcentral
CGGGGUGUGGCGCAGCCUGGUAGCGCACCUGGUUUGGGACCAGGGGGUCGGAGGUUCAAAUCCUCUCGCCCCGACCA